This 555-nucleotide long non-coding RNA is filed under the name Numida meleagris (helmeted guineafowl). RNAcentral describes it as "lncRNA (ENSNMEG00000015064.1)". Lineage: Eukaryota; Metazoa; Chordata; Aves; Galliformes; Numididae. The record is from RNAcentral.
GCGCGGCCGUGUGGGCGGGGGGGGCCGCAGCGCUGAGUGCUGCCCCACAGCGCGGAGCUGCGGUGUGAGAAGGGAAAAAUGAAGGGAAACGGCGAUGGGAAAGUGCCCGGGGGGUGUCUGAUGAAAGAGGCCGGAGUUGCUGCCUUCACCCUUUCUCCGCUGCCUCCCCGUUCUACCAGUCUGUUCUGUGUCCAGGCAACUGCAAAGAGGCAUUUCAAAGGCUCCUGCCGUGCCAUGGAGAUGUUUUCUCUUGUUAGUUUGGACUGCAGGAGUUCCAUCUUGUCGCAUUAUUUCCAACCUGACAGAGCAGCUCUGUGCCGGAUCCCGACGUGUUUCAGCAGCGUGGUGUUGGAGAGGAGCACGCAGCGCAGCCGAAUUGAGGGAGCGCUGGGAACACUGGGCCGGCUGCUGAGCACCCCCCGCUCCCGUUGGCUGCAGGGCAGGAUCAGCCCCUCGCUCGCCGUUCACCCAACGAGGUCUCCCCAUCUGGCUCUGCUUUCUGGAAGCGCUGUUUCCCCAGGCUGCGGGGCACAGAGCUCCACGGAGCGGUGCUGA